GGAUCAUUACGGGGUUUAUUCGGUUUGAGAAAGGGUAACACCAACUGUAUUUUCCAGUUUGGUGGAAUGUCACCUGUCAUAAAAAUCCCGUUAAUAAUAUUGAGAAAGUAACCUAUAACCUUGUCACUAGAAUGUUUCAAAAAUGAAUAUGGAAUACCGUCGCAACCUGGUGCGGAAUCAAUGACAUACGAUAAGACAUUCUUUAGCUCCAAUAACGAGAAUGGAUCAUUAAAACGCUGCAUGUUAUCAUUAUCAAUAUUGGUUGGGGAAGCCAGUUCAAUACACACGGGGGAUGGGACGAAUGGAGGAGCUAAUUUAUCUAAAAACUUCUCAGCUACUUUAGGAUCAAGAUUAAGGGUGUUAUUUUCUACAAAAGCUCCUCUAAACAUUCUAACCUUUCUCCAAACUUCUGACGGCUUCUGAACAUUCAGAAUCCCACCAUGGAGGGCUGGGAAUAUUGAAUUUAGAGGACUUCUUACGCGGAAAUACUUCAUCAGCUAUAUUAAUUAUAAACUUAGCAAAAGCAUCAGAAGUUUUAAACAAAUGUUCCCGAGAUACAUCAGGUAAUUCACUCAACCUCUCAUCCAUAUGUUUGCGAAACUUAUCCCAAUCUGCAUUUUGAAGUUUAUAUGCUAACAGUGGAGAUCUUUUAAGUACUGGUUUAUUUUUAAUAGGAAAAGAAAUAAGAAUUGGAAAAUGAUCACUGCCAUAGGAAAGUGGAAGUACCUCCCACAAUAAGGAAUGUGAAAUGGAAGAACUACAAAUUGAUAAAUCUAAUGCACUAGGAUUUUCAUUGGGAGCAGACCGACGCGUGGGAACACCAGAAUUUAAUAUACAUAAAUUAUAAUAAUCAA
Molecule: long non-coding RNA, 854 nt
Organism: Cydia fagiglandana
Lineage: Eukaryota; Metazoa; Arthropoda; Insecta; Lepidoptera; Tortricidae
Exons: 2
Source: RefSeq, a predicted model, not a curated record